RNAcentral lists this transfer RNA (75 nucleotides) under Candidatus Falkowiibacteriota bacterium. RNAcentral describes it as "tRNA-Thr". It matches the Rfam family "tRNA". From Rfam's summary of the family: Transfer RNA (tRNA) molecules are approximately 80 nucleotides in length. The record is from RNAcentral. Lineage: Bacteria; Candidatus Falkowiibacteriota.
GCCGUCUUAGCUCAGUGGUAGAGCACCACCAUGGUAAGGUGGGGGUCUCGGGUUCAAGUCCCGAAGACGGCUCCA